AUACGGAGGGGGCUAGCGUUGUUCGGAAUUACUGGGCGUAAAGCGCGCGUAGGCGGGUUGGCAAGUUGAAGGUGAAAUCCCAGGGCUCAACCCUGGAACUGCCUCCAAAACUGCCAGUCUUGAGUUCGGAAGAGGUGAGUGGAAUUCCUAGUGUAGAGGUGAAAUUCGUAGAUAUUAGGAAGAACACCAGUGGCGAAGGCGACUCACUGGUCCGAUUCUGACGCUGAGGUGCGAAAGCGUGGGGAGCAAACAGGAUUAGAUACCCCGGUAGUCC
Molecule: ribosomal RNA, 274 nt
Filed under: uncultured bacterium
Lineage: Bacteria
Description: partial 16S ribosomal RNA
Rfam family: Bacterial small subunit ribosomal RNA
Source: RNAcentral